This 860-nucleotide unclassified non-coding RNA is filed under the name Hevea brasiliensis (rubber tree). Lineage: Eukaryota; Viridiplantae; Streptophyta; Magnoliopsida; Malpighiales; Euphorbiaceae. The record is from RNAcentral.
UUUAGAUAGAAACAAAUUAACAAUAGAUUUUUCCUCCUCCUCGUUCUUUGUUUUAUCAAGAAGGGUUUUACCAAAAAAAAAAAUUUUUUUCUUGUUAUUGCGACAGAUUUUUAUUUAUUAGCAAUGAAAAAUUUUAUGGCUGAACUAUUACUUUCUUGCAGUGAUCCCUUUAAUAUUCCCUUCUCUUACUUGUCUCUUUCUUUUCUUUCUCCCUCAAAAUCAAGAUGCUCUCAAAAAGUACAAACCACAAGCAAAAUUGACAGAAAUCUUAGUUUAACUAAAAAUAUAUUUAAUUAGUUUCUUUUUGCGAUGAAUUCACAAUGUUCUCUCAGGACUAAGAGGCAACAGGAUUGGACGAAAUCCACUUGAGGAGCUAGUUGAGUUUCUGAAUCGAAUUAGAGCCUAAUUGUUUCCAUAGUUUCUUCUUUCUUGGUUUAGAAAAUGGGGGAUUUGAUGAAGAUGGAUUUACGGGAAGUGGGUUUGCAGAGUGGGUUAGAGAAUGAAAAUGGCUUUGCAGGGAUUAGAGUUUGGAAAAGUGAAGAGAAUAUAAUUGCAACUCUUAAAUCCUUUUUUAAAUUGUAGAACUCAUUAAAAAAAAAAAUUAUAUUUUAGAAAUAUAUUUUGAAAUUUAUAUCUAAAAUUUAGAAACGAGUUUCAAAUUUCAUGUUGGUUUAGAUUCAGAACUAAACUAAAAGUGGCUGAUCAAAGUUAGAACUGAAAUCAAUUAAUAAUUUAUAGGCCUGAGACGGAUUAAAACUGUAUUGGGAGACAAUCUAUCUCAUAUCAUUCGUCUUUGAAUCAGAUCGAAAUUGAUGAUUCGGUUCAAGCUGACUUUUAAAAAAAAAAAAUUCAAAUGUUGA